ACGGUCCUAAGGUAGCGAAAUUCCUUGUCGGGUAAGUUCCGACCUGCACGAAUGGCGUAAUGAUGGCCAGGCUGUCUCCACCCGAGACUCAGUGAAAUUGAACUCGCUGUGAAGAUGCAGUGUACCCGCGGCAAGACGGAAAGACCCCGUGAACCUUUACUAUAGCUUGACACUGAACACUGGUCCUUGAUGUGUAGGAUAGGUGGGAGGCUUUGAAGCGUGGACGCCAGUCUGCGUGGAGCCAACCUUGAAAUACCACCCUUUAAUGGCUGGUGUUCUAACGUAGACCCGUGAUCCGGGUUGCGGACAGUGUCUGGUGGGUAGUUUGACUGGGGCGGUCUCCUCCCAAAGAGUAACGGAGGAGCACGAAGGUUGGCUAAUCCUGGUCGGACAUCAGGAGGUUAGUGCAAUGGCAUAAGCCAGCUUGACUGCGAGCGUGACGGCGCGAGCAGGUGCGAAAGCAGGUCAUAGUGAUCCGGUGGUUCUGAAUGGAAGGGCCAUCGCUCAACGGAUAAAAGGUACUCCGGGGAUAACAGGCUGAUACCGCCCAAGAGUUCAUAUCGACGGCGGUGUUUGGCACCUCGAUGUCGGCUCAUCACAUCCUGGGGCUGAAGUAGGUCCCAAGGGUAUGGCUGUUCGCCAUUUAAAGUGGUACGCGAGCUGGGUUUAGAACGUCGUGAGACAGUUCGGUCCCUAUCUGCCGUGGGCGCUGGAGAAUUGAGGGGGGCUGCUCCUAGUACGAGAGGACCGGAGUGGACGCAUCACUGGUGUUCGGGUUGUCAUGCCAAUGGCACUGCCCGGUAGCUAAAUGCGGAAGAGAUAAGUGCUGAAAGCAUCUAAGCACGAAACUUGCCCCGAGAUGAGUUCUCCCUGAGACUUUAAGUCUCCUGAAGGAACGUUGAAGACGACGACGUUGAUAGGUCGGGUGUGUAAGCGCAGCGAUGCGUUGAGCUAACCGAUACUAAUGAACCGUGAGGCUUAACCUU
RNAcentral lists this ribosomal RNA (986 nucleotides) under human gut metagenome. Its description in RNAcentral is "bacterial LSU rRNA". It matches the Rfam family "Bacterial large subunit ribosomal RNA", at positions 1945 to 2925 of the family's 2925-position model. The record is from RNAcentral.